UCAGGCUCAGAUUGAACGCUGGCGGCAGGCUUAACACAUGCAAGUCGAGCGGAAACGAUGGGAGCUUGCUCCCAGGCGUCGAGCGGCGGACGGGUGAGUAACACUUAGGAAUCUACCUAGUAGUGGGGGAUAGCUCGGGGAAACUCGAAUUAAUACCGCAUACGACCUACGGGAGAAAGGGGGCAGUUUACUGCUCUCGCUAUUAGAUGAGCCUAAGUCGGAUUAGCUAGAUGGUGGGGUAAAGGCCUACCAUGGCGACGAUCUGUAGCUGGUCUGAGAGGAUGAUCAGCCACACCGGGACUGAGACACGGCCCGGACUCCUACGGGAGGCAGCAGUGGGGAAUAUUGGACAAUGGGGGGAACCCUGAUCCAGCCAUGCCGCGUGUGUGAAGAAGGCCUUUUGGUUGUAAAGCACUUUAAGCAGUGAAGAAGACCUAACGGUUAAUACCCGUUAGCGAUGACAUUAGCUGCAGAAUAAGCACCGGCUAACUCUGUGCCAGCAGCCGCGGUAAUACAGAGGGUGCAAGCGUUAAUCGGAAUUACUGGGCGUAAAGCGAGCGUAGGUGGCUUGAUAAGUCAGAUGUGAAAUCCCCGGGCUUAACCUGGGAACUGCAUCUGAUACUGUUAAGCUAGAGUAGGUGAGAGGGAAGUAGAAUUCCAGGUGUAGCGGUGAAAUGCGUAGAGAUCUGGAGGAAUACCGAUGGCGAAGGCAGCUUCCUGGCAUCAUACUGACACUGAGGCUCGAAAGCGUGGGUAGCAAACAGGAUUAGAUACCCUGGUAGUCCACGCCGUAAACGAUGUCUACUAGUCGUUGGGUCCCUUGAGGACUUAGUGACGCAGCUAACGCAAUAAGUAGACCGCCU
Molecule: ribosomal RNA, 863 nt
Filed under: Psychrobacter sp.
Lineage: Bacteria; Pseudomonadati; Pseudomonadota; Gammaproteobacteria; Moraxellales; Moraxellaceae
Description: bacterial SSU rRNA
Rfam family: Bacterial small subunit ribosomal RNA
Source: RNAcentral